This is a long non-coding RNA of Clupea harengus (Atlantic herring), 1857 nucleotides long. NCBI's taxonomy places the organism in Eukaryota, Metazoa, Chordata, Actinopteri, Clupeiformes, Clupeidae. The record is from Ensembl.
GUGUGACCUGAGGGACAAGUGUGUGACCUGAGGUAGGAAGGCAAGGGUGUGUGUGUGUGUGUGUGUGUGUGUGUGUGUGUGUGUGUGUGUGUGUGUGUGUGUGUGUGACCUGAGGGGGCAAGGAUACAUUCUUGAGAAAUAUGCAGGGAGCAGGGACGCUAAAGGUUAGCAGGGACGCUAAAGGUUAGCAGAGACGCUAAGGGUUAGCAGGGACGCUAAGGGUUAGCAGGGACGCUAAAAACACUAAGGGUUAGCAGGGACGCUAAGGGUUAGCAGAGAAGCUAAGGGUUAGCAGGGACACUAAGGGUUAGCAGGGACGCUAAAGACGCUAAGGGUUAGCAGGGACGCUAAGGGUUAGCAGGGACGCUAAACACACUAAGGGUUAGCAUGGACGCUAAGGGUUAGCAGGGACGCUAAAGACGCUAAGCGUUAGCAGGGACGCUUAGGGUUAGCAGGGACACUAAAGACGCUAAGGGUUAGCAGGGACGCUAAAGACACUAAGGGUUAGCAGGGACGCUAAGGGUUAGAAGGGACGCUAAAGACACUAAGGGUUAGCAGGGACGCUAAGGGUUAGCAGGGACGCUAAAGACGCUAAGGGUUAGCAGGGACGCUAAAGACACUAAGGGUUAGCAGGGACGCUAAGGACGCUAAGGGUUAGCAGGGACGCUAAGGACACUAAGGGUUAGCAGGGACGCUAAAGAUGCUAAGGGUUAGCAGGGACGCUAAGGGUUAGCAGGGACGCUAAGGGUUAGCAGGGACGCUAAGGGUUAGCAGGGACGCUAAAGACCCUAAGGGUUAGCAGGGACGCUAAGGGUUAGCAGGGGCGUUAAAGACGCUAAGGGUUAGCAGGGACGCGUAAGACGCUAAGGGUUAGCAGGGACGCUAAAGGUUAGCAGGGACGCUAAAGACGCUAAGGGUUAGCUGGGACGCUAAGGGUUAACAGGGACGCUAAAGACACUAAAGCAGCUUGCACACUGCCCCGACAAACGCCAACAUUCUCCAACUAACGCCAACAAACACCAACAGUCGGGUCAGUGUGCGCCGGCAGUUGGUGUUAGUUGGAGAAUGUUGGCGUUAGUCGGGUAUUGUCGGAAGAGUUCAACAUGUUUAGUCGGAUCGGGUCGGAUCGGGUAAAGUUUCCAACGAACUCCAACAUUCUGACAGCUCAUUACCUUGACAACUAGGCUAAACUUGCGUGCAUAACAUCCUCGAGCUCUCUUGGAUGUCGAAGUUAUGGUGGUUAUCAGCCAGUUUGUUAAAAAAACGACAUCCUAAAUCUAUUUUUAGAUUAACUUUAUGUAUUAUCUUCCCCAAACGAACGGUUUUCGAGACAUAUAUUAGUCUAUUUCAACUUCUACGACUCGUUUAACACUGCAAGAAAACAUGUUUCUAAAUAUUGUAACAAAUCACGGAAGCGUGAAAUAUUUGUUAUGGCUUUUUAUUAAACACUAAACACAACACAAUGUUAAAAUGGCACGGGCUUUAUGCCCUGGUACAAGUUAUCACGAACAGACUGUGCUACCGUCACACACCUGUAUAACCUCUGUCCCAACACAGAACAACGACAUGUAAUUAGAACGGUAAGGAACAUUGUUAGGGAACAUCAUUGAGCGCUAGUGCAUCACAUAGAGAUACAGUAUGCGCCCACAGGCACCGUUCUUGUUAAGGCCAGAAGUGGCAGGACAAGAAAAAUAUUGGAGGCAAAGGCAAAGGAUGGUCAGAAUGGUCAAAGACUACCAUCAGACCACCUCCAAAGUGCAAUUCAGCGCACCUUGCACAAAGAACAGCUGUAUGAGAGAGUGAUGCGGACGAAGCCAUUUCUGGACACACGCCACAAACAAGCUCCCUUAAGCUAUA